Oryza nivara is the source of this 209-nucleotide non-coding RNA. Lineage: Eukaryota; Viridiplantae; Streptophyta; Magnoliopsida; Poales; Poaceae. The record is from Rfam.
CGUAAGUGUUAGCUAUAUGAGUUUUCGCGUCCAACUUUGAUCGUCCGUUUUAUGUAAAAAAUUUUUAUAAUUAGCAUUUUUGUUGUUAUAAGAUGAUAAAACAUGGAUAGUACUUUACUCGUGACUUAUGUCUUUAAUUUUUUUUUAAAAAAAAUUUAAAUAAGACGAAUGGUCAAAGUUAAGCGCUGAAAACCAUGGCUGCACUUAUU